CCCUGCAGAAGAUUUCCUUGAGAUGUACUGUCGUUCACCGCCUUCUUCAGAUGAUAAAAGUCCAAAGUCCUGUGGUUGAAUUAAAGCAGGAGAUAAAAGACCUGAAAGACAAGAAUGCUAAACUGAAGGAGAUAAUUGUUCAAGAUGUACCAGAACUCCUACGGACCAUGAAGAAUAUAAUUGAUUCGGCUGCACCUCCUAAGAGAUCCAGGUUGGAGCUUACCACACCAUCGCUGCCCCCCCAAAGUUCUCUGUAGUCCAGUCCCAGUUCUUCAUCUGCCAAUUCACCACAAUCCCUCCCCAGAUCUACACCAUCCAGUUACACAUCUGAAUCUGUCAUUCCAUCACUGAAGUACUCAGAGACUUCAAAGGUCCAAAAUGUGUUAAGUCUGUGUCCUACCUUGUUGAUGAUGGUGUUCUGAUGCGCUGCUGGUCCCCUAGUUCUGGUCCUUCACAUGAGUCUGUGAGUCAAGUUGUAGUGCCACAGCAGUUUCGUUCCCAGGUGCUAAGUUUAGCCCAUGACCAUAGCAUGUCCGGCCAUUUAGGAAUUAGAAAAACAUACAGCCGUAUCCUCCGUUAUUUCUUUUGGCCUGGGCUUAAGUCAGAUGUUGUGAAAUUUUGUUGUUCAUGCCACAUCUGUCAGGUCUCAGGUAAGCCAAAUCAAGUGAUUCCUGUAGCUCCAUUAAAGCCAAACCCUGCCGUUGGAGAGCCGUUUGAGCAUGUUAUUGUAGACUGUGUGGGUCCUUUGCCGAAAACCAAGUCUGGAAAUCAGUACAUUCUCACUGUGAUGUAUGCUGUGACUCGUUACCCUGAGGCUGUCCCGUUGCGUUCAUUAAAAGCUUGUGUCAUCGUAAAAGCUCUUGUCAAGUUUUUCUCCACAUUUGGCCUUCCAAGGCGCAUUCAAAGUGACCAAGGAUCAAAUUUUAUGUCCAAAAUCUUCACCCAGGUCAUGUCAGAGCUAAAUGUCGA
Epinephelus fuscoguttatus (brown-marbled grouper) is the source of this 969-nucleotide long non-coding RNA. RefSeq lists it as uncharacterized. The record is from RefSeq and is a predicted model, not a curated record. Lineage: Eukaryota; Metazoa; Chordata; Actinopteri; Perciformes; Serranidae. The transcript has 3 exons.